GACGAACCGUGCGAACGUUAUUCGGAAUCACUGGGCUUAAAGCGCGUGUAGGCGGAUUGGUGCGUCGGCGCCUGAAAUCCCCCGGCUCAACCGGGGAACGCGGCCCGAAACGACCAGUCUGGAGGGACGUAGGGGGGACUGGAACUUCCGGUGGAGCGGUGAAAUGCGUUGAGAUCGGAAGGAACGCCCGUGGCGAAAGCGAGUCCCUGGACGUCUACUGACGCUGAGACGCGAAAGCUAGGGGAGCGAACGGG
This 254-nucleotide ribosomal RNA is filed under the name uncultured bacterium. RNAcentral describes it as "partial 16S ribosomal RNA". It matches the Rfam family "Bacterial small subunit ribosomal RNA", at positions 524 to 776 of the family's 1533-position model. RNAcentral also lists the same sequence under 1 other name. The record is from RNAcentral.